UACCAACAAAUUUUAGGGCCGCGAGAU
Molecule: small RNA, 27 nt
Filed under: Bombyx mori (domestic silkworm)
Lineage: Eukaryota; Metazoa; Arthropoda; Insecta; Lepidoptera; Bombycidae
Description: ovarian small RNA-20515
Source: RNAcentral